GGGGGACAUGCUUCAAACUCCACACACAUCGAACCACAGUGGAGCCUCGAACCCUGGUCCAAAAGGUGUGAGGCAACAGUGCGCCACCAUGCCACCCAGUAUAUAAAACUAUACCUUCACAGUGGCCUGAGAGGGCAAGGUGACAUUUUGACAGGGGGAGCAAAAUUUCUAGUUACACCCCUGGACAUGGUACACAACCCUGGGAAAUUAAUGCAUGCAUUAUGGGUAAUAUAUGAACAGUAGUUCACUUAAUGUCUUUGGAUUGUGGUUGGAAACAAUACAAACAAGGAGGGGAAAAGCAAACUCUAAAGACAAGGCUAUGGAUAGACGUCGAAGGCGCCACCAUAGAGGUGUGAGGCCAAUGAGGUGCCCAGCCAGCUUCCUCUCCAGCCAGAAAUGCGAUGAGCCAGGAUGGACACAAUAUUCAUUGAGGUUAAUGUACAUAUACCAGAAGAGGACCUGGACAAGUCUCUGUAGGCUGGAGUAGUGGGGGUAUAGAAAGGUUAGUGGGCGUGCCCAAAGGUUUGUGGGCGUGUCCAAAUGUUUGUGGGUGUGUCCAAAGGUUUGUGGGUGUGGUGAUAGGUGGACAUGUUGACAGGAUUAGAGUGUGGUGAAGCAGGUGGAACCAGGCAUGUCAUUUUCUUUGCGCUUCCUGCAAGUAUGGCAGUAAAUGUUAAGCGCUAGAAAAUGAACAAAUAUGAAUCAGGCAUUAAAUUAUAGAUGUGUGUUGCCUGACCUAUAUGUGUUGAUGGAAUGUCUGGUCUCUUUCUGAAAUAACAUUUAUUGACAACAGCAUUUUUGGUCAAUAGAAGUAAACCUCUGGACACGCCCACCUUUUGAUGCACCAGUGCUCGCUCCUCGUAGAGACCCGUGUCUCGAGCUGGAUGGAGUCACACGCUGCCUUUCUGCUGCUCUCACCUCAUCUCACACGUCAGGAUGUUAAUUUAUCAAUGUCAGCCGCCUUGGGCUCUCGCAGCCUGCAGUUGAGACACCGUCGUGGGGCAGAUGGAGCACUAGAGGACGAUGGGGGAAGUGACCCUGGAUAUGGAGCCUGGCUGCUGCCGGCUGCUAGCAGGAGUCUCCCUGCUCGGGACCCCGUGAUUAGACUUGGAUUAUUUUCCAUCUCCCCCCUCCGGUGAUCGUGCCCCUUUGCUACUUCUCUGAUUUUUCAGAGGAGCGUAAAACAGCUACAUAUUCAGGCUGCGCUGUUUAUGGAAUUAAAUAAAGCUACGUAGUCAAAGGCAACACGCACAACAGAACAACAUAACAGGCUCUAUUAGCGCAAGCAUCACACAUAGUAAUGCUGUUAAUGUAGAAUAGUGAUAUUGAAUUUUUUUGCCUAUCCCAUUUUGGUCUCGAUGAGACACACAUGCAGUUGAGAGCGAGCUUGGGGGUCACAGGACAGGGUCUGCCAGCAUGGAGCUGGGGGUUAAAGGCCUUGCUCAGGGCUCAUGGACGUGUACCCAUUCUGCCAUGGCUCCCUCCGGUGACAUUCCGGUCAUUGGCACAGUGGCGUAGCGGAGCGCUGUAUAGGAUACUGUGUGAGUCACACGCCAUUUCCAGAGUAAGGGGUAAAGUUCAUAUGAAUACUUAUAGCAGGCAGACGUGGAAGGUUCCGAAAAUCCAGACCAAGAUUUUGUUUCAACCAACCAAUUGAGUAUAAGGAGUGACAGUUGCAGAGUACAGAACUUGUUGGUUAAAUGAGAAUCUUGGUGUGGAUUUGUACUUUCUGAACCUGAAUUUUCUACAGGAGUUUGGUAGUGUGCAGAAGUUUGCAGUGUUCAGUGCCUGCAGUGCUAGUAUGAGAUACUGAGUGUGUUUGGUAAGGCCCCUCCAGGAGCCCCUACAGAGAGCCUUCAGCUGACGGGUCUGUGCACUGAGCCACUGCACUCCAAGCUGCGAAGCUAAAUACUCGACAUGGCCCGCGUGACUCGAACGCCUCCCUCCCUCUGCUGGUCCACCUGGCACGUCCAGCUGCCUGCUGCUGGCACUGCCAGUAGCGUCCCCCCCCCCCACAGUAAUCCAGUGCAUCAUCUGGGUCACUGGGCCCAGGAAGAGUCCCGUGGGCAUAUCCGGGGCCUGGGACUAAGUAGCGCCAUUAUCACUAGGGUUCUGUGAAACGACCUGGUCUGUAGAUCUGGCUGGAUGAGGGAAGCAGGCGCCAGGUUCUCUUUGCCAGCUUCGGGGGAGGGGGGGGGCAACCGAAUCUCUGCUCUCUUGGCAACAGGCAUUACCAUGUCUUUCUGAAAAGCUCCCCCACCCAGGAAUCCUUGCCAUCAGUGUGUAUCAAAUCUCUUACGACUAUUGAAAGGGUGCAACCAAUCGGCUAUUACGACUAUUGAAAGGGUACAACCAAUCAGCUCUUACAACUACUGAAAGGGUGCAGCCAAUGGUAUUUCAGCAAUAUGUUAGAUCAAAUGUGAAAACAGAAAAAUAUGAGCUUCACUAGUGUAGUACAGUGUAGCUGGCUUAAGGGAAAAUCCCAGCAUUAAGCCAGUGCCCUGCGAUUAUAUACACCAUGUGAACAACUGUGCGCUUUGAAACCUUGUGACUGUUCUGUUUUCAUAAACGUAGACCUUCUGCAAUGAAAAAGGAUAAGGAAGAAGAUGCAUGUGAAAUCAACCUCCAUUCUCAAUGGCAUUUACAUCUGUUAAUAACAUUCAAAAUACAGGAAAACAGCCUCACUCCUAAUUGUAAUACACCUUUCAGAGUGCAGGACCACAGAAAUGAGGCUUGGUGUAUUUUUACCUUAAAUGCAGAUGCACGGAAUAUGAUGGAUGAAGACUCCUCCCUCACCUGCUUUUUGUGAUAUCAGUUCUUUGUCUGUAAUCAUAUUACUGGUGACUUAUUUUAUGCCUUAUAUAUUAUUACAGGCAGUCCUCUGGUUAAGAACGUCUGACUUACGGAGAACUUAUCCGUAUUAUAUAUGCAAAAUUCAGGUUAAAUACAAUGGUUCAGGUUAAAUACAAUAACGAAGGCACGGUAUACUUUAUGAUGCUUGUGAAAUCAUCGCCCGGCUUCAGUAGUCCGUUGGCUCGAGGUUCAGUACUGUAAGUAGUUACCUUAAUUACUACUGUAUAUUAUUAUAAUAAUUAUUAUCAUUAUUAUUGUUAUUAUGUACUGUAUUGUUAUUUUUCCAACUUACCUUCGACUUAAAGACAGACUUAGGGAACGGAUCAAUGGCCGAGCCUCACCCUGGGUGAACCACCUUCGCGAUCAUGGUAUCUCUCCUGCCAGGAGGAUUUCAGCGCUGGACUGGCCUCUCCCUCACCAACCCAUAUUUGAUGCAUUGGCUUCAUCGGGGACCUUCCUUGCAGCGGAUCUCGACACCGAGGCGUUUUACGGAAGCCAGAUGGGAGGUAACCAUAGUCACGCGUCGCCAGGAAGUGUCCGGUGGCAGACGGGAGCCGUUCCUACAGGUCCUGCAUGCACCAUCGACCCGAGGCCACAGCUUCAUUUGUUCUGUUUUUUUUUUUUUUUACUGCUUAUUAUACAAAAAAACUUUUGGAAAGUUUCUCUGCUGCUGUGAACCGCAGCACGUUUUAUUGACCUGGAAUCUUCCGUGUCAUUCUGGCAAACACCGACUCUCCGGUAUCAAAGGCCUUCACAUGAUCACUGAAGCUCCUUAUUCGCGAGUUCCUCUGGAGAUGGACUCAGCUAUAGUCAUGCAUUUUUAAUGCGGAGCGCUGUAUGGGAUACUGUGAAGUUCACUUCUGAGGGCUCCAAUUAGAUACUUUGUUAGCAUUGAUUCUAGUUGGCUGGAAAACAAUAGGCUCAGAUUCCACAGCAUUUACCACACAAAGUAAAAAGUGGUAUUCAGUUUUUAAAUAGAAAUAUACAAAAUAUUUUGGUGUAAAUCAGUGGAAUAGUUAGUGAGUGUUGACGCAAAGCAGAACUUUUUGCGCUAUAAAUGAUUUUGCGAGAGGAAUUCACACAUUACACGUUUCAUUUUGGGGCCAUCUGGAAUAUUCUUCAAAGCCCCAGUAGCCAUAUCCACAAAAAGCAGUUGGAAAAUGGAUGAUGCUGUGUCCUCUUCAUUUAUAAUUAUAGUGUAAAUGCAUCUUAAUAAAAAUGCAAAAAUUUCCCUGGACCCAAAAUAUAUUUGGAUGUACUACAUUUCUUGAAAAGACAGAACUCGUAAUUUGUCAAAUGUUUACUUUUGAAUUUUAUUUUGUAAUUAAGAUCCUCAUCUAUUCCUGUAUGAUUCCAUUCAGGAUAAUGAGGUGAUGCAUUGUAGAGGAGUUGUGAUUGUGGAAGCUUUUCUCCACAUGGUAGAGGGACACAGCAGUCAGAUUUUUCAGAUAAUAAUUUCUAAUUAUAUAGAUUAUGCUUUGUUUUAUUUAUUACAAACAAUUUAGUGUUAAAGACACAUGAAAGGUGUUCCAUUAAGAUCUCUUUCCUGCACUGUUCCUAGCAAACCCAAAUCAUCUUGAAUUAUCUGUGAUUCAUUUAGCGGUACCCACCCAUUUACGGCUGAUGUAUUCAGGCUGAAUUACGCAUAGUUCAAGGGUUCAGGAACUCAUGGAAAUUCUGCGACAAAGCAAAAGUGACGCUGGGAAGAUGCUGGAGCAAAGUAUAACAGAGUGGGAUUGAGAAGGUUUAAGAAGUAGGUGCGCGUUGGACAUGACCAGUGAUGGCUUGUUAUGCUAAUUAGUGGAAGGGCUGUAAUGGAAUGCAUAAAUGUGUGGAUUAUGUAGACAGCAUGAAAAUAUAUGAGUGGGAAAGGGAAGAGGGGGCCACAGGAAGCGGGCUCUAACACACCAUGCAAAUUACACUCUGCCAUCGGGUUAAUUUAAACUUUUCACACACCAUGGACACAUGUGUCAGCGCCGCUGGUGUGGUGGACAGAUGCCAGAGUGAAAAAGCGACGCCUCUCGUGAUGCUCUCUCGGAUGACAAGCGUGACGAUACCAGCCUAGAAUAGAAGCCUGAGAGCUUCACCUCCGUAAGCCUGUCGUCUUUUCUGCUGACUCUAUCGUCCUUGGAUCGUCACGCCGCUUUAUAGGGCCGAUUCCGUUGACGCGUCUCAGUUUCAGCGGUGAAGCAUCUUCUGUCUCCCAUGGAAAGUCUGCCGGGGCAGCGAGUGAGAAUGACCUUUCUCCCGUCUCUGAGGUAUCCGUGACAAGGGCUAAAAGAAGCAGACUUGACAGCAAAAGCACCCACAAACUCUGUUGGCAAAAUAGCCCCUGGAGGAAACUGACUUAUAAAGAGCAUAACGAAACAGUUACAGUGUGCUUCAGUUAAAUAACCUUUAGUGAAUGGUGAACUUAGCUGUCUUAGUUGCAGUGAGGGAUACUUAAGGUGGUUUUUUUUUUGGGUUCUCUCUUGCUGCUCAAAAGCAUUAGUCACUGUGGCUAACUCUGUACUGUACUGUACUGGAGUUUCCUUAGCCAGGCAUGAAAUGCAUUAGCCACGAAAUCACUCUCGCGUAGAAAGUGGGACCGCUUCCACAGAUGCAAAAAGGUCAAAUUUGUGUGGCUGUGACACUACGUAUCGGCACAUCUAUCUAGCAAUGUUACCAUUGGCAGAACGCAUUUUUGUGCGUGUGUUUUUGUCUUCUUCACAUCUCGAGAUUCCUUCCUCGCUCAGCCACAGAUCAAAAGCCUCCUCAAAGCCAAACUUAGGUAGAGCAGAACCUUCUAAUCUGACCAACUCUUUCGGCUCUCAAGCGGCCCUUUUUUAUUUUUCAAUAAAAAAACUCCUUUAUUUUCAUUUAAUAAAUGGCUCUUCACAUAAGCUGGCUUUCGUCGUUCAGAUAUCCACCUAAAAGAGCCGGUUCUUAGAACCAACUAAUUUGCAAAUGCCCCAUCACUAGUUUCGACCCACUUGUCCAAGUGAAGGUUGCGGUGGUACUAGAAUGUUCUCGAGAACCUGGAAAGUAAACAGCAUAUCACUAAAACACAUUUAGUGUAACGCACACUCAAAAAAACUGCUAUGGUCAGGAUUGCGAGUUCACACAUUCACAUUUUAAUCAGGAUGCGGUGAAUGGCUAGCAGUCGUCUAGUUUUGUAGAUAUGCUGAAAGCUGAAUGCUUUACCUGAGCAGGUCAAGUUAAGUGCCUUUCUUUACCAGGCUUUCUCUGAGACUUCAAGCAGAAAAACAUGUGUUACUAGUCCAUGACAUUUAACCACUAUCCUACCUGAUGCUCCAUGCUAGAUGUUUAUACCUCCCAGCCGUGCAUCAAUUAAUCAUCGACCUCCCUGAUUUAAUAAAGAAGUAAUUGUGUGAUUGAAGCUGACACAGCCUGCUAAACUGAAGCUGUGCGGGUUGGUGCUGUUUGAUUGGAUGCCGUUUGGUCUUUCCAAUGCAGCGGCAACCUUUUUUGAUCAUACAAUCAAAUGCAUAUUUAAAUUUCCAUAAUAAAUGAAAUAUACAGUUUUUGUUUCCCUCUAUACAUGAAAUUGUACUUAAAGCAGUUUGUAGCAUUUUUGUGUUAUACAGUUUCCUUACCGUCUGACGGCCAUGACUGAUUCUUUAAAGUGUGUUUUCAAGUACGCUGGCAGAUGGCGAUUGAUGGCAGGUGGCUGUUUGUCGGUCGGGCCAGAGGUGUUGGCUUAAGUGUGGAAUCCACAGAACUCAAAGCAGAAGGUGAGCUUUGCAUGUAAGACCGACUAGAUGGAAAUUCCUGAGCUGUGGAGCGUAACAUACGCAGGGCAGAGCGGCAGAAUGAGGCCCACUGGCUAGUGUGAUGUGAAGCUUUGGGAGUCGCCCAUGUUAUUGAUUUGUUUUGACAUUCUUGAAUUUAGUCAUAUAAAAUUAUGCAAAAAGACCCAAGAACUGGCAGAUGAUUCUGUUUCAUGCUUAUUUUCCCCCCUUAUGAAAUAUGCUUAUUUUUGCAUUUGUUCUCCCACAUUUACAUACUAAAUGAUAUUCAGUGAUUUGAAAUAAUUUAAAGUAAAAAAAAUAUAUAUACCAAAGUACUGGGGGGAUAUAAAGCAGGAUUUCAAGUAAGACCUACAGUAGUAGCUGGUGUAUAAAUAUGAAGCAGUGGAGAAAUUAACUCAGAAAGCCAUGAGUUUGUGAAGGGAAAACAGUUCUUAUUUCUGAUUACUGUCUCAAAUAAAUGGA
Non-coding RNA from Paramormyrops kingsleyae, 7067 nucleotides. NCBI's taxonomy places the organism in Eukaryota, Metazoa, Chordata, Actinopteri, Osteoglossiformes, Mormyridae. The record is from RefSeq and is a predicted model, not a curated record.